Non-coding RNA from Arachis ipaensis, 204 nucleotides. The record is from RefSeq and is a predicted model, not a curated record. NCBI's taxonomy places the organism in Eukaryota, Viridiplantae, Streptophyta, Magnoliopsida, Fabales, Fabaceae.
AAAGAUAAAUAAGAAAAAAAAGAAGAAGAAGAUGAAGAAGAAGAAGAAGAAGAAGACCUGAAUGGUCUUAACAGGAGGCUUAUUCAAGCGAUUCAAAUGCCUAUUGACUUCAAGCUUCUGUCUUGAACCACCGAGCCUAGCAGCACAGGAGUGAGAACUAAAGAGACCCAACAACAACAAUAACAACAGAGAAAACAACACUAC